UUUGUUGUAGGUUUAAGCAUGCUUAAAGUGGACAUGAGGAGGUUUGCUUGGACUUGACAUAGCUGGCAUGAAGCAACUUGAGAAGAUGGAAGAGUGAAGAUCAAAGUGAAGUUGAAGUGGGAUAGGUUUAGAGUCAGUGUUAGGGGUAGGGUAGGUAGUUGACUUUGGUCAAAUGUUUGACCAAAAAGUCAAUAGUUAACCAAAAAUCAACAAUAUGUCAAACUUAGUUUUUAGUUUUUUUCUUGUAAUUUUUCAAUUUGGAUGGUUGUAAUGUGAUUUGAUGCUUAUGUAAUGAAAAACGGCCUUUUGAAUGAAUCAUGUAACGUAUGCUUCAAGUAA
This 339-nucleotide long non-coding RNA is filed under the name Lathyrus oleraceus (garden pea). Its description in RNAcentral is "Pisum sativum (pea) long non-coding RNA (PSAT_LNC035081)". The record is from RNAcentral. Lineage: Eukaryota; Viridiplantae; Streptophyta; Magnoliopsida; Fabales; Fabaceae.